UGAGGAAUAUUGGACAAUGCCCGCAAGGGUGACCCAGCAACGCCGCGUGGAGGAUGAAUGUCGUAAGAUUGUAAACUCCUGUUAGAGGGGAAGAAUAGUACCGGUUGGACCGGUAUAUGACUGUACCCUCAGAGAAAGCCCCGGCUAACUACGUGCCAGCAGCCGCGGUAAUACGGAGGGUGCAAGCGUUAUCCGGAAUCACUGGGCGUAAAGGGCGCGUAGGCGGUCUGUUAAGUCCGAUGUUAAAUCCCGGGGCUCAACCCCGGAUAAGCGUUGGAUACUGGCAUGCUAGACGGUUGGAGAGGCGAGUGGAAUUACCAGUGUAGCGGUGGAAUGCGUAGAUACUGGUAGGAACACCCAUUGCGAAGGCAGCUCGCUGGACAACACGUGACGCUGAGGCGCGAAAGUGUGGGGAGCAAACC
This 422-nucleotide ribosomal RNA is filed under the name uncultured bacterium. RNAcentral's name for it is "bacterial SSU rRNA". It matches the Rfam family "Bacterial small subunit ribosomal RNA", at positions 355 to 774 of the family's 1533-position model. The record is from RNAcentral.